UAAAAAAAAACAAAAAUAUAAAAAGAAAAGGGGGAGGCGCUCGGCAGCCCCCCCCCCAAAUCAGAAAAUCUCUCUCUCUCUCUCUCUCUUUUAUUUUCUCUUGAUUUCCUCUCGGAUUUUCUUCGAUUCCAAGCGAUCCGGCCGUUCGAUCGUUGAUCCGACUUCGCUUUCACCGUUAAAGUGCCCCCGAUCUACAAGGAGCCUAUAAGUGGGUGUGUAGUUCCACUAUACACUUACGCGUAGCAAGCAAAGCGAGACAUGAUGACGUAGUCGAUGGCUUAGCUCGACGAAUUCCAUGACGCCAGAUUUGAAUAUUGCGCGGGCCAAGGCUCAGAUUCUCAGGAUUUUGUUCGAUCUUCUCCCCAGACUCGGACUUGAGUCAUCAUUUCCCAGGCGAGUAGACAGGAUAUGUUAUGAUUACCUUAUAUUAUGCACGUAUAUACUGUUUUAUUCAUAAAUAUUAUAACCUUGUAUAAAUUUUUAUAUGCAUAACUCGUACAUGAUUUUUAUAUGCGGAUCAUAGAAAAAUACUCUUAAAUGUUUCUAAUUUGCAUGAAAUAUUUUCAUCCUACUGGGAGAGACAUAAACUGAAAGAUACCCUAAUUGAUUUCUUGUUUUGAGAAUGUGAAUUAUUGAAUGAUAUGGUGUAUUUUAGGCACCACAUGAAAUGAUAAAUGAUUAUGACUUGUGCAUAAAUUAGGGUAUUAUUUGCAUUAUUAUUAGAUGACUAUCUAGUAGAUUCCCUGGUGACUCACAGCAGGAAAAGAUCAUGGUACUGUGAGGCUUGGCAUGCCAAGGCCAUGAGAGACACGGAUAGUAUGUUUCAGCACUGCUAUCACGUGGGCCUUUAUGAUGAUAUUGUGUGAUGAUGAUGUAUGUGCCGAUAUAUAUACUUGUGUGCAUGUGUAUAUAGGCGUUAGGCCAGUUUCUACUAGUGUGUCCUCAGAAUCAGUGCAUGCAUCUCAUACAAAAGUAUAGGGGACUUGGGUGGUUAGGGAACAACUUAUGGGGGUUGUCUUUAAGCACCUAUUUUUCCUACACUAUGUUUUCCUUUGAAAUCUCAAAUUAUUUAACUUAUGGUUUAUAAUUCCACUGUUUAUACUGUUAUUACGUUAUUAUAC
This is a long non-coding RNA of Diospyros lotus (date-plum), 1121 nucleotides long. RefSeq lists it as uncharacterized. The transcript is spliced from 3 exons. Lineage: Eukaryota; Viridiplantae; Streptophyta; Magnoliopsida; Ericales; Ebenaceae. The record is from RefSeq and is a predicted model, not a curated record.